This 691-nucleotide long non-coding RNA is filed under the name Marmota monax (woodchuck). Lineage: Eukaryota; Metazoa; Chordata; Mammalia; Rodentia; Sciuridae. The record is from RNAcentral.
CCCUGAUGACACAUGCUGACCUCUUCAGUGGGCUCUGAGAGAGAUCCAGAGAAGGUUCUGAGCUCCUAUGAUUCACAGGUGGGGUUUUCUCCCCUGCGCCCUGGGGCUGUGUGUGUGGUGGGGCUGAGGCAAAGGGUAUUCCCCUGCUUUGUGGCUCAGGACCGCAAGGGUCACAGGAUCUGAUUCACCUGCCUUGGGUUUCCCUAAGGUUCUCGUCAGGCUUCCCAUGUAGAGCAGAGUUCUGGCCCUUGGCUUGGCGAUGUGCUUUGGUCUGGAGUUACAUGGUGCUCUGCAGAUGGAAGGUCGGGCUGAGUAGAUGUGAGAGUCGUGCUCGGCAGUCUCCAGGGCUGGCUUUCCUGGUCCCUGUGCAUUGUCGGGUGCUCCAGCCCCGAGCUUUGGCUCCUGGACAGUGCUCUGGUUGAGGCUGUCCGUGUUGAGCAGGUUCCUACAAAAAUAAGCCCAGAGUCUAAGGUGUUCUUCCGCUUGCUGAGUUCCUCUGUGUUAAGCCCUUCCAGCCUCUGCUUCCUGCCCUGCGGGGUCCUCAUUAGAUAAAAUGACCCUCUGCAAUAACCUGUUCCUUCCUUCCUUUUCUUAUAUGGGGGGGGGGAAACCCCCGUCAUUUUAUAGGCUCUGAAUCUGUAAAUGAGCAUCCGAAAGCCUACUGUGGGUGUUUUCACAUUAACCAAAAUAA